UCAAGUCCAGGUCUGCCAUGGGCACCAGACUCCUCUUCUGUGUGGUGAUCUGGCUUCUGGGGUUAGGUCUCAAGAAUGCCAGUGUCACCCAGAGCCCAAGACACCUGGUCAAGAGGAGAGGACAGGAGGCAACCCUGAAAUGCAUCCCAGAGAAAGGUCACAGUUAUGUUUCCUGGUACCAGCAGCUCCCAGAGGAAGGUCUGAAAUUCAUGAUCUAUCUCCAGAAAGGAAGCAUCAUAGAUGACUCAGGAAUGCCAACAAAACGGUUUUCUGCUGAAUUUCCCAGAGAAGGACCCAAUGUCUUCAAGAUAGAGCUAGCAGAGCUGGGACACUCAGCAGUGUACUUCUGUGCCAGCUCAGCAUCCACAUCAGUGCAGAGUCAUGUCUCUUCAGUGCACAAACAUCCCCCCACUCCCUGCCCAGAAACAGCAUGA
This is a non-coding RNA of Castor canadensis (American beaver), 434 nucleotides long. The record is from the annotation of a RefSeq genome assembly. Lineage: Eukaryota; Metazoa; Chordata; Mammalia; Rodentia; Castoridae.